ACAAAAUCACGUCUGUGACUACUGAAUUCACUCCAUUCAAUUUCUCUCUCUCUCUCUCUCUCUCUCUCUCUCUCUCUCUCUAAAACAGUGGUUGUUACUUCCCACAGUUCCGGCGUCCGCCAUGGACGCAGCUUCUCACCUCGUUUGCUACGGUAUCGAGCCUCUGCGUCGAACCUUCCCGACCCGUAGAUCCUCUUCGUACGGAAGAAUUCGGAUCCCCAAACGGACUACCAGUCGAGUUCUUGCGGUCGCUACCGAACCUAAACCACCUCCGACAGGAUCGUCGAAACCUCCUCCGCCGGCAAAAUCUGUUAAUGGAGUUUCCUCGAGGAUUGGAGAUAUGUCGAAGGAAAUUAAAAGAGUGAGGGCACAGAUGGAAGAAAACGAAGAAUUGGCGAUACUGAUGAGAGGUCUUCGUGGAACAAAUUUAAGAGAUUCUCAGUUUGCUGAGGAUAAUGUUGAGCUUCGCCUUGUUGAGGUAGACGAAAGCAGUGAAUUUCUGCCUUUGGUAUAUGAUCCUGCUAGCAUCUCUGCUUAUUGGGGAAAACGUCCACGUGCUGUUGCUACACGCAUUGUCCAAUUAAUGUCUGUUGCAGGGGGGUUUCUUUCACGUAUUGCAUUAGAUGUCAUAAACAAAAAGGUCAAAGAGAAUGAAGUUGCUAGAGCCAUUGAGCUAAGGGAGAUUGUAACCUCUUUGGGUCCAGCUUAUAUCAAACUUGGGCAAGCAUUGAGCAUUAGGCCUGAUAUACUUUCACCAAGUGCGAUGACUGAGCUUCAAAAACUCUGUGAUAAGGUGCCUUCAUUCCCAGAUGAUGUCGCUAUGGCUCUUAUCGAAGAGGAGCUUGGUCGUCCAUGGCAGGAGAUAUAUUCUGAACUCUCACCUUCCCCCAUUGCUGCUGCAUCCCUUGGACAAGUGUACAAGGGCCGGUUGAAAGAAAAUGGUGAUUUGGUGGCUGUUAAAGUGCAAAGGCCCUUCGUUCUUGAGACUGUAACAGUUGAUCUGUUCGUCAUAAGAAAUUUGGGACUGGUUCUUCGCAAGUUUCCCCAGAUCUCUGUAGAUGUUGUCGGACUGGUUGAUGAAUGGGCAGCCCGUUUUUUUGAGGAGCUAGAUUAUGUUAAUGAGGGUGAAAAUGGAACACGUUUUGCUGAAAUGAUGAAAAAGGACCUUCCACAGGUUGUUGUCCCCCAAACCUACGAGAAGUAUACUUCAAGAAAGGUUCUUACUACCGGAUGGGUUGAAGGAGAAAAGCUUUCACAAAGUACAGAAAGUGAUGUUGGAGAACUUGUUAAUGUUGGAGUAAUCUGCUAUCUGAAGCAGCUGCUUGACACUGGUUUUUUUCAUGCUGAUCCUCAUCCUGGAAAUUUAAUUCGGACUCCAGAUGGGAAGCUAGCUAUUCUUGAUUUUGGACUUGUCACAAAAUUAACGGACGAUCAAAAGUAUGGAAUGAUCGAAGCAAUUGCUCAUCUUAUACAUCGUGAUUAUGGAGCCAUAGUCAGAGACUUCGUUAAACUUGGUUUCAUUCCAGAAGGUGUUAAUUUGGAACCCAUUUUGCCUGUCCUGGCCAAGGUUUUUGAUCAGGCACUUGAAGGUGGAGGUGCUAAAAAUAUCAAUUUCCAGGAGCUGGCAGCAGACUUGGCUCAGAUAACAUUUGACUAUCCGUUUCGGAUACCCCCUUAUUUUGCCCUCAUAAUCAGGGCAAUUGGGGUGCUGGAAGGCAUAGCUUUAGUUGGAAAUCCUGAAUUUGCGAUUGUAGAUGAGGCCUAUCCAUACAUUGCACAGAGGCUCCUAACCGAUGAAUCUCCACGUCUAAGGAAUGCUUUACGCUAUACAAUAUACGGGAAAUCUGGAGUUUUCGAUGCAGAAAGAUUCAUUGAUGUUAUGCAAGCCUUUGAGAAUUUCAUAACGGCUGCUAAAAGUGGAGGUGGAGAGGAUCUGAAUGGUGAUAUGGCCGAACUCGGCCUGAUGCAACGUACAACAGAAAAUACAUUCCCAUUAAUGCUACCAAAUCUAUCUCAACAGGAGCCUGUCCAAACAAGGGCAGCUUUGGGAUUCCUUCUUUCUGAUAAAGGAAACUUCUUCCGAGAAUUUCUUCUGGACGAGAUCGUAAAGGGCAUCGAUGCAGUCACAAGGGAACAGUUGGUGCGUACAAUGGCACUCCUUGGACUUGGAAAUACUACCCCUAUCUUCAGUAUGGCCCCUACUUUCGGACCAUUCAAACCGGCAGGGCUUCUACCAACAGUAACCGAAGAAGACAAAGUUAUAUUAAACAAUGUCCAAAAAGUUGUUGAGUUUUUAACUGCUGGAACUUCAAUACCAAAACCAUCAAAUGAGAGUUUGAAUAUUCCUCGGGUUUUUCAAGAGCUUCUCCCGGUGUUGCCAGGCAUCUCCACCACAAUACUUCCGGAAGUUAUCAACCGAUUAACUUCUAGAGUAUUAGCUCGCGUCAUUCGAGACACAUUUUUGUAGAAAACAUUCUUAAUCUUAACUUUGGUUGCUACAUGAAGGCCUCAAUUGUUUAUAUAUAUAAUUGUAAAACAGUAUCCCAUAUAUAUGUAAGUGCCAUAUCCAAAUCCAACCAACACUACCAAGGAACUGAAGAAAACCUCAUCAUUGUAUAUAACAAGUUCCAAUUCAAAUCACUAUAUACUUAAUCUGUAUAUAGUAAAAGCAAAUUGAAGGAGGAGGAGUUGUUGUUGGACCCACAUAAAAAACUUUUUGUCUCUCUUAGGUGGAGAACAAGCAGAGAGAAGGGACAUAAAUAUUUGUGUUGUGUCUUUUAAAUUUUCUUUUUUCACCAUUUACUUCCUUCCAGACAGCUGGAAUCAUUUCAUGUCUAAAUAUCUAACCAAUCAACACACCAUUGUUCAACUUUCCUUGUCAUAAUAAUCAAAUAGCAGAGUUCAGUCAGGAGUAGAGCCCGCGUGCCCUAACAAUACGGACCAAAAAAAAAAGUGAAUUUUCAUUUCACCACAAGAAAAAGGGGUCCUUUUCUUUCUCAAAUCAGCUCAAUAUCUGAUAAAAUAAAAAGCCUAAAGUUAACACUAUGGUUAAAAUGGUGGAAUGAAUGAGGAGUGGAAGGAAAGAGAUGGAGGAUAGGUGAAAUUAUUUGUUUGGCAAAAAGUAAUGGAAAGGUGGAGGGAAAGUCCUAACUCAAGUUUUAAUCCUUCUUAAAAUGAAUGGAUUUAGAAAAGAAAAAAAAAAAAAGACAUAUAUAUAUACAAUAUUAUAUUUGCCCUUAAAAAAAUAAUGAAUAAUUAUAUUAGGAAUGAUAGUGUUGUAAUUUUAGUAAUUAAUUUAUGUUUUAUUAUUUUAAUUUCACUUCUAGUGCUAAAUAAUAUAGAGUAGAGCUACUUUUAUCUCCACCUUUCAUAUUCUCUAUCAUUUCCUUCCAUUCUACUUUCCAUCAUUCUUACCAAACAUAGCCUAAGAUAGGAUAAUUACAUUAUGUUUGGUGGAGUGGAGAGAAGGAAGGAGGAAGAGGAAUAGAGGAAUGGAUGAAUUUUCUUGUUUGGCAAGAGGGAGAGAUAGAGGGAGAUCUUCUAAAUACACAACUUUUAGUCAAUGAAGGAAUUUAAGACAAUUAACAAAAAAAAAAUCAUAUUAAAUGUUUUUUUUACCUUCAAAAAAAUAAUAUAUAAUUAUAUUAAAAAUGAUAAAACAAUCAUUUUAAUAUUUAUUUUACUUUUUAUCCUUUUAACUUUACUCUUAACACUAAACAACACUCAAGGGAGAACAAUUAUCAUUCUCAUCCCUCCUUCCUACCAAACAUAACCUAUUCUAUAUCCAUUUGUCGAAAUAACCAUACAUAAUAAUUUUACACUAAUAUUAAAAUAGAUUCGAUAAGCUAUCUAUAUCCACCGACACAUAUUUAACAAUCAAAAAUUAGCCAAAAACCGGUUUGUUCUUACAUAGAGUGAAUUUAUGGCUAGUUUCACUUUUGAUUUGUAUGUGUGUAUUAUUUUCUGCCACCACUAUUUCACAUACCAUUUAAGAAAUCUCCAUCAAAGGUAUGUAGAUUAAAUUAACUAACAUUGUGGAAAAGUCUUGAGAAUAUGUGAUGAAAAAAAUUCUUAACAUAUACUACCAUCACCACAUGUUUUUGUCCCAUAUUAUUUUAAGGGAUAAAUAUUUGUUGGAUUGUGGAUCAACCAUUUUAAUUUGAUGGUGAAAUAAUUUGUUCAGCCAAUCAAAGUAAGAAAAAAUAAAAAUAAGAUGGCUAGCUAAAGAGUAUAUGUACAUGUAUUCUUCUACAUGUCUAUCUAUGUAAAAUAUUUUUCUUUGAUUGUAAAGCUAUAUUUUACUAGAUUGUAGUAACUAGUAACUUAAUAUGUUUGGUGAGAGGGAAGGAAAUUAGUAUGGGGGACAGUUUAAGAAAGGUAGAGAGUAUGAUGGAAGUGGAAUUUGAGGAUAACAUGUCUCCUUCAUAUUAUUUGGUAUUGGAAGUAGAGUUAGAAUGAUGUAAAGUUAAUUAUUUAUUAAAAUUACUAUAUUAUUAUUUUAAAAUAUAUAUUAUUUAUUUGUUAUGAAAGGUAUUUAGGACAUUUAAUAUACUUAUUUUGUCAUUUUUUCUUCUUUUUAUUUUUGAAAAGCCUGAAUUUUGUACAUUUGAAGAAAAAAUGUACCAUUCUAUAUCUAUUUUCUCCAUUUUCUUUCCUCCCUACCAAACACAUAAUUUAUUUUCCAACCCACUCAAAAAUUCUUCCUACAUGUACUGUAAGAAUCAAUAAUCAAUAAUAAAUUGAUCUCUCUCUUAACAAGAGAUAAUAAGGCAAAAUUAGAAGUAAAAUUUUAAACUUACGACUUUCUCUAUUUUUAAGAAUAUUUUUAUAAUAACACCGAAUAAUAUUAUUUAAUAAUAUUUGAUGAAAUUAAUAUUUAUAUGAAUUGCCAAAAUAUUUUAAGUAUAAAUUCUGAAUAAAUUAAAAUUUAUCUUAAUUUUAAGUGAAGCGACCAUCUUACUUAGAUUUCAGGUGACUUUCCCCUUACAAUCAAGUAAGUAGAUAAUUUACUUAAUUUGAAUCAUGCAAGACUGUCCAACCCGUAUUGUGGUACAAUAUUCUUUGUCAAAUUUGAUGAUAGAUAGUUUGAGUUGCCUAAAUGAUGACCCCCUUGCUCAUGGUUUUAAUAAAAGUAAGCAUUUAGAGUAAUUAUUGGCAAUAUUCCAUUCAUAAAAAGUACUUGAUUUUUCUCAAACCACACCAACAUUCUGACCAAGCCAAAGGCAUAAAGAUAAAGUACACAUAAUUUGAUGCUGCAUUUCAUAAUGUGUCUUAAACUUAAAAAACAUUUCAUAUUUUGGAACAAUCCAAUCCACCCCAAAGCAUAAAAAUAUUCUCAAUUUGCCAACUCCUCAAUUUCCCACUUGUAACAAACUCAUGCCAUAAAAAGCAAAUUAGUACACCAAAUUAUAUUAUUAUUAUUAUAAAUAAUAAUAAAAAAAAAAAUACUAGAUGCCCCCAUUUGAAAGGCUCCCUCAUUAUAAGCAAAACAAUGAGUAUUUCCUCUAUAAACAGUCAAAAGAUAAAGAGCACUCCUUUUUUUGGUUUCACCCAUUUAACUACAUUAAUUAAUAAUAUUAAUAAAAUUAACAAUGAGUGCUAAACAAACUAAAAAAUUAAAAAUAUAUCUUUAUAUAAAUAAAUAAAAAAAAAAAGCAAAAGUGAAGCCACCUUUAGUGGAAGGAGAUAAGGCAUGAAAUAUGAUUGUACCUCUUACCUAUUCUCAACCUUUCCCAACCCAACCCAAAAAAAUAAAUAAAAAACAAACCUUUAACACAAAUCAUAACAAUCAUUUACAUAUAAACUAAAACUUUUGUUUCUCCAAAGAUUUCAUUUUUAUUUUCCCUUUCUUAUUUUUGAUCCAUUUCCCAUCUCAUAUCUCAAACCCUUUGCCAUGGUGAUUUUAGUACAAGAGUUUGAUUUUUGUUGUAGCCAAGAGCAAAACAUAUCAUAAAGCUUUCAUUUUUAUUUGUCUUUUUUUUUUUUUUUUGUAUAUUAUUGUAAAUUUGUCCGUACAAUUGUUACUCCUGGCGGCCACGGCUCAAAACAAGUGCACCUCUUUAGUGUGUUCUUGCUAUGUACCCUCAAAAGGGUUUAACAACAAUACUAAUAAUACCAAUAAUAAUAAUAAUAAUAAUGUCAAUAUCAAAAAUACCAAGAAGCUAUCUCAGGCUGAAAAGAAAGAUGGGUUUUUGGAAGAACAAGGUUUUGAUGAUAUUGGUAAAAAUGGAAGAAGAAGAAGAAGAAGAAGAAGAAAAAGAAGUGGGUCUAAUGUGUCUCAUCAGAAGAUUAUUAGUCAACAACAACAACAACAACAAGAAGGACCCUUUAAUCUCAAGAGUAAUUUGAAGAAAACAGUGGUGAAUAAGAAUAAUCAAUCAUCAAAGUUAGAAGAAGAAGAAGAAGAAGCAAAGAUAGAAAAGAGGAAAGUUACUUGGCCUGAUGCUCAUGGAGAUGAUAUUGCUCAUGUUCAGGAAUUUGAGCCAAGUGUAUCAGAAGAUGGUGAACUUGAAGGAGUAAGGAACUCUUGUGUUUGUGUCAUUCAAUAAUGAGGAUUUUGCCUAAAGAUGGGGAUCUCCUUUCUUCCUUCCAAUGCAUCUCUUCUGGAAUAAAUUUGAGAGAACUAAACUUUAUGUCUUUUGCUUGGUUGACUUCAUAUAGGUUUUAGCUAGUGCACCCUUUUUGUGUCUUAUUUCAAUGACAUGCCUAAUUUGUUAUGGAAAAUAAAGGUAAGGAAAUGGCCCUCCUCCACAA
Cannabis sativa is the source of this 6753-nucleotide RNA transcript. RefSeq lists it as uncharacterized. The transcript is spliced from 16 exons. The record is from RefSeq and is a predicted model, not a curated record. Lineage: Eukaryota; Viridiplantae; Streptophyta; Magnoliopsida; Rosales; Cannabaceae.